NNNNNNCAGGUUAAUAUUCCUGUACUUGGUGUUACUGCGAAGGGGGGACGGAGAAGGCUAUGUUAGCCGGGCGACGGUUGUCCCGGUUUAAGCAUGUAGGCGGGAAGUUUAGGUAAAUCCGGACUUCUUUUAACGCUGAGGUGUGAUGACGAGGCACUACGGUGCUGAAGUAACAAAUGCCCUGCUUCCAGGAAAAGCCUCUAAGCAUCAGGUAACAUCAA
This 221-nucleotide non-coding RNA is filed under the name Plasmopara halstedii. RNAcentral's name for it is "Bacterial large subunit ribosomal RNA". It matches the Rfam family "Bacterial large subunit ribosomal RNA", at positions 1420 to 1640 of the family's 2925-position model. The record is from Rfam by way of RNAcentral. Lineage: Eukaryota; Oomycota; Peronosporomycetes; Peronosporales; Peronosporaceae.